GACGUAGGGCGCGAGCGUUGUCCGGAUUUAUUGGGCGUAAAGAGCUCGUAGGCGGUCUGUCGCGUCGGCUGUGAAAACUCAGGGCUCAACCCUGAGCCUGCAGUCGAUACGGGCAGACUAGAGUGCGGUAGAGGUAGCUGGAAUUCCCGGUGUAGCGGUGAAAUGCGUAGAUAUCGGGAGGAAUACCUAUGGCGAAAGCAGGCUACUGGACCGUCACUGACUCUGAUCUGCGAAAGCUAGGGGAGCAAACAGG
RNAcentral lists this ribosomal RNA (253 nucleotides) under uncultured bacterium. RNAcentral's name for it is "partial 16S ribosomal RNA". It matches the Rfam family "Bacterial small subunit ribosomal RNA", at positions 524 to 776 of the family's 1533-position model. The record is from RNAcentral.